CACGUAGGGGGCGAGCGUUGUCCGGAUUUAUUGGGCGUAAAGAGCUCGUAGGCGGCUCGGUAAGUGAGGUGUGAAAACUCCAGGCUCAACCUGGAGACGCCACCUCAUACUGCCGUGGCUAGAGUCCGGUAGGGGAGCAUGGAAUUCCUGGUGUAGCGGUGAAAUGCGCAGAUAUCAGGAAGAACACCCGUGGCUAAGGCGGUUCUCUAGUAUGGUACUGACGCUGAGACGCGAAAGCGUGGGGAGCGAACAGG
Molecule: ribosomal RNA, 254 nt
Filed under: uncultured bacterium
Lineage: Bacteria
Description: partial 16S ribosomal RNA
Rfam family: Bacterial small subunit ribosomal RNA
Source: RNAcentral